RNAcentral lists this ribosomal RNA (105 nucleotides) under Listeria monocytogenes. Lineage: Bacteria; Bacillati; Bacillota; Bacilli; Caryophanales; Listeriaceae. The record is from RNAcentral.
UGUCGAGAAGGUCACACCCGUUCCCAUCCCGAACACGGUAGUUAAGCUUCUCUGCGCCAAUGGUAGUUGGGGGCUUCCCCCUGCGAGAGUAGGUCGCUGCCGGGC